AUGUACCCCCGUACACUCUGGUUCCUCCGCGCCGUCCGCGCCCACCUGACGGCUGCUCGCUACGUUUUGUUAGCC
Xanthomonas campestris pv. campestris is the source of this 75-nucleotide small RNA. It matches the Rfam family "Xanthomonas sRNA sX9". The record is from Rfam. NCBI's taxonomy places the organism in Bacteria, Pseudomonadati, Pseudomonadota, Gammaproteobacteria, Lysobacterales, Lysobacteraceae.